GGUGGGGUGGCAGAACGGCAAUGCGCUGGUCUCGAAAACCGGUGGCUUCACAGCCUUGUGGGUUCGAAUCCCACCCCCACCGCCA
RNAcentral lists this transfer RNA (85 nucleotides) under Pseudomonadota bacterium. RNAcentral describes it as "tRNA-Ser". It matches the Rfam family "tRNA". From Rfam's summary of the family: Transfer RNA (tRNA) molecules are approximately 80 nucleotides in length. Their secondary structure includes four short double-helical elements and three loops (D, anti-codon, and T loops). RNAcentral also lists the same sequence under 2 other names. The record is from RNAcentral. Lineage: Bacteria; Pseudomonadati; Pseudomonadota.